RNAcentral lists this ribosomal RNA (497 nucleotides) under uncultured bacterium. Its description in RNAcentral is "partial 16S ribosomal RNA". It matches the Rfam family "Bacterial small subunit ribosomal RNA", at positions 28 to 507 of the family's 1533-position model. The record is from RNAcentral.
GAUGAACGCUGGCGGCGUGCCUAAUACAUGCAAGUCGAGCGAACAGACGAGGAGCUUGCUCCUCUGAUGUUAGCGGCGGACGGGUGAGUAACACGUGGAUAACCUACCUAUAAGACUGGGAUAACUUCGGGAAACCGGAGCUAAUACCGGAUAAUAUAUUGAACCGCAUGGUUCAAUAGUGAAAGACGGUUUUGCUGUCACUUAUAGAUGGAUCCGCGCCGCAUUAGCUAGUUGGUAAGGUAACGGCUUCCCAAGGCCACGAUGCGUAGCCGACCUGAGAGGGUGAUCGGCCACACUGGAACUGAGACACGGUCCAGACUCCUGCGGGAGGCAGCAGUAGGGAAUCUUCCGCAAUGGGCGAAAGCCUGACGGAGCAACGCCGCGUGAGUGAUGAAGGUCUUCGGAUCGUAAAACUCUGUUAUUAGGGAAGAACAAAUGUGUAAGUAACUAUGCACGUCUUGACGGUACCUAAUCAGAAAGCCACGGCUAACUACGUG